UACGUAGGGGGCUAGCGUUGUCCGGAUUUAUUGGGCGUAAAGAGCGUGUAGGCGGCCAGGUAGGUCUGCUGUGAAAACUCGAGGCUCAACCUCGAGACGUCGGCGGAAACCGUCUGGCUAGAGUCCGGAAGAGGAGAGUGGAAUUCCCGGUGUAGCGGUGAAAUGCGCAGAUAUCGGGAAGAACACCCGUGGCGAAGGCGGCUCUCUGGGACGGUACUGACGCUGAGACGCGAAAGCGUGGGGAGCGAACAGG
Molecule: ribosomal RNA, 253 nt
Filed under: uncultured bacterium
Lineage: Bacteria
Description: partial 16S ribosomal RNA
Rfam family: Bacterial small subunit ribosomal RNA
Source: RNAcentral